RNAcentral lists this ribosomal RNA (1134 nucleotides) under Triticum aestivum (bread wheat). RNAcentral's name for it is "partial small subunit ribosomal RNA". Lineage: Eukaryota; Viridiplantae; Streptophyta; Magnoliopsida; Poales; Poaceae. The record is from RNAcentral.
AUGUGUGGAAAGAUGGAUGAGGUUCACCUCCACAUGGAGCACAAGAGCCUACCCGGUGGAGAAUUUGGAGGAGUUCGUGCCUCGAUGUCCAAACCUCCGACGUCUAGCACUUCUAGGCCAAACAGCAUGGUUGUCAAGAAAGUGUGCCCACGGGAGUACAUCCCGCCGCACAUCGUGGCGGAGGCAAUCUCGACGCUGCACGGCCUCGACCUGCGGUGGUCGGGGCCGAUCACGCCCAGCGAGCGGCUCUACGUGGAGCAGUACGUGAUGGCCAAGUACCCGCAGUACUCUCACGGACUCAUUGAGGAGGAAAGCUGUGACAAGGACGACCUCUACUCCACCUACUAUAGCACCGGCAGCAUGUCUGCCUCGCCCGAGGGCGGAUCCGGCGAGCGGCGGAGGCCGUCGCCGACGGGGUCCCCGUCGUCGGCGAGGCCUGACAUCGACAUGGUCAGGUUGGAGCCGUCGCGUCUGCUGGACAUCCUGACCAAGAAGUCUUCCUUCACGGGGAGCUUCAUCUCCAUACCGGAGAUCCAGGCCAGGAACAGGGUGCUCCGGCACUGCGGACUCACCGACGAUGAGUACCUCGUGCUCUUCGCCGCCACGCCCAAGGACGCCAUGAUGCUGAUAGGCGAGAGCUACCCCUUCUUCCGGAGCAACUACUACAUGUCAAUCCUAGCCGACGACCGCGACUGCAUCCACGCAUUUGCGGCGUACAAGGAGGCCAAGGUCAUCGCGGCGCCGGAGUCGUGGCUGGAUCUCCGCAUCAAGGGCUCACAGCUCAGCCAGUACUUCCGCCGCAAGUCAAAACUCACGCACAAGGGCCUCUUCGCCUACCCAGCCGUCUCCGCCGCAGCCCCCGCCACCGACGACGGAAUCGCCCCGCCACCGCCGCGCUACUCCAUGCACUGGGUCUCCGAGGCGCACCGCAACGGCUGGCACGUGCUCCUGGACGCCACCGCGCUGGUCGUCGGCGAGGACCGGCUGCCGCUGUCGCUGCACCGGCCGGACCUCGUGCUGUGCACGCUCGACGACACGCACUCGCAGCAGCCGUCCGCCAAGGUGACAUGCCUGCUCGUCAGGAGGCGGUCCUUCGACACCUCCGCCCUGCCGCAGCCGCAGCAGAAACAGUGA